Molecule: ribosomal RNA, 253 nt
Filed under: Photobacterium damselae
Lineage: Bacteria; Pseudomonadati; Pseudomonadota; Gammaproteobacteria; Vibrionales; Vibrionaceae
Description: partial 16S ribosomal RNA
Rfam family: Bacterial small subunit ribosomal RNA
Source: RNAcentral
UAGCAGCCGCGGUAAUACGGAGGGUGCGAGCGUUAAUCGGAAUUACUGGGCGUAAAGCGCAUGCAGGCGGCCUGUUAAGUCAGAUGUGAAAGCCCGGGGCUUAACCUCGGAAUUGCAUUUGAAACUGGCAGGCUAGAGUCUUGUAGAGGGGGGUAGAAUUUCAGGUGUAGCGGUGAAAUGCGUAGAGAUCUGAAGGAAUACCAGUGGCGAAGGCGGCCCCCUGGACAAAGACUGACGCUCAGAUGCGAAAGCG